GGGGAAUUUUCCGCAAUGGGCGAAAGCCUGACGGAGCAAUACCGCGUGAGGGAGGAAGGCUCUUGGGUUGUAAACCUCUUUUCUCAGGGAAUAAGAACUGAAGGUACCUGAGGAAUCAGCAUCGGCUAACUCCGUGCCAGCAGCCGCGGUAAUACGGAGGAUGCAAGCGUUAUCCGGAAUGAUUGGGCGUAAAGCGUCCGCAGGUGGUUUAUCAAGUCUGCUGUCAAAGAGUUUGGCUCAACCAAAUAAAGGCAGUGGAAACUGACAGACUGGAGUGCGGUAAGGGCAGAGGGAAUUCCUGGUGUAGCGGUGAAAUGCGUAGAGAUCAGGAAGAACACCGGUGGCGAAAGCGCUCUGCUGGGCCGUAACUGACACUGAGGGACGAAAGCUAGGGGAGCGAAUGGGAUUAGAUACCCCAGUAGUC
This 424-nucleotide ribosomal RNA is filed under the name uncultured cyanobacterium. RNAcentral describes it as "bacterial SSU rRNA". It matches the Rfam family "Bacterial small subunit ribosomal RNA", at positions 356 to 795 of the family's 1533-position model. The record is from RNAcentral. Lineage: Bacteria; Bacillati; Cyanobacteriota.